UGGGGAAUAUUGCACAAUGGGCGCAAGCCUGAUGCAGCAACGCCGCGUGAACGAUGAAGGUCUUCGGAUCGUAAAGUUCUGUUGCAGGGGAAGAUAAUGACGGUACCCUGUGAGGAAGCCCCGGCUAACUACGUGCCAGCAGCCGCGGUAAUACGUAGGGGGCUAGCGUUAUCCGGAAUCACUGGGCGUAAAGGGUUCGCAGGCGGAAUAACAAGUCAGAUGUGAAAGGCAUGGGCUCAACCCAUGUAAGCAUUUGAAACUGUAAUUCUUGAGAAGUGGAGAGGUAAGUGGAAUUCCUAGUGUAGCGGUGAAAUGCGUAGAUAUUAGGAGGAAUACCUGUGGCGAAAGCGGCUUUUUGGCCUGCAACUGACACUGAGGCGCGAAAGCGUGGGGAGCAAACAGG
This 403-nucleotide ribosomal RNA is filed under the name Verrucomicrobiota bacterium. RNAcentral's name for it is "Verrucomicrobia bacterium partial 16S ribosomal RNA". It matches the Rfam family "Bacterial small subunit ribosomal RNA", at positions 355 to 776 of the family's 1533-position model. Lineage: Bacteria; Pseudomonadati; Verrucomicrobiota. The record is from RNAcentral.